GAUGAAGAACGCAGCGAAAUGCGAUAAGUAGUGUGAAUUGCAGAAUUCAGUGAAUCAUCGAAUCUUUGAACGCACAUUGCGCCCUUUGGUAUUCCUUAGGGCAUGCCUGUUCGAGCGUCAUUUAAACCUUCAAGCUCAGCUUGGUGUUGGGUGACUGUCCGCUUCACCGCGGACUCGCCUCAAAAUUAUUGGCGGCCGGUACAUUGGCUUCGAGCGCAGCAGAAACGCGAACUCGGGCCCGUCGUAUUGGCUCACAGAAGCUAUCUUCACAAUUUUGACCUCGGAUCAGGUAGGGAUACCCGCUGAACUUAAGCAUAUCAAUAAGCGGAGGA
Molecule: unclassified non-coding RNA, 332 nt
Filed under: soil metagenome
Description: partial contains 5.8S ribosomal RNA, internal transcribed spacer 2, and large subunit ribosomal RNA
Rfam family: 5.8S ribosomal RNA (bases 1-120)
Source: RNAcentral